AAAAACAUCAGGAAAGGUAGACGAAAGCGCUUUAUCAAAAUUGGAUAUAGAAUUAAAGAAGUAUCAUAAUCUCAGUGCAACUCAAAUCACUGACACGGAGCAAAAAGUUGCCAAUGUCUGGAUUGAAGUCCUUAACAUUCGAGGUAUAGAGUUGGAUGACAGCUUCUUUGAAUUAGGAGGAAAUUCUUUGCUAGCUGCAAACCUAAUGAAAACGUUAGAAAAAGAAUUUCAAGUUGAUUUACGUGUUUCUGACUUAUUUAUGUACACAAACAUUAAAAUACUGAGUCAGUAUAUAGAGGCAAAGAAAAAUAACAAGACGGAAGAACUCAUUAAAAUAUCUGAAGUGCAGGUAAACCUCAAAAGUGAAGUCAACAGCCAUAAGUUGAGGAAUAUAAACAGCUUUAAUCAACAGAUAAAAGGUUUUUGGUAUCAAAAACAUAACCUAGAUAAUAACAGAAACUACACUCAUGGAAUAGUUUUACUGACAGGUGCUACUGGAUUUCUUGGAUCUUUCAUACUGAGAGAACUGCUACUUCAGA
Mytilus californianus (California mussel) is the source of this 539-nucleotide long non-coding RNA. RefSeq lists it as uncharacterized. Lineage: Eukaryota; Metazoa; Mollusca; Bivalvia; Mytilida; Mytilidae. The transcript has 3 exons. The record is from RefSeq and is a predicted model, not a curated record.